GUACUAGCUGAGAGGAGGUGCAUGGCCGUCGUCAGUUCGUACUGUGAAGCAUCCUGUUAAGUCAGGCAACGAGCGAGACCCACGCCAACAGUUGCCAGCUCGUCCUCCGGGAUGGUGGGGACACUGUUGGGACCGCCUCUGCUAAAGAGGAGGAAGGAAUGGGCAACGGUAGGUCAGCAUGCCCCGAAUUAUCUGGGCUACACGCGGGCUACAAUGGGUGGGACAAUGGGUAUCGACACCGAAAGGUGAAGGCAAUCUCCUAAACCCAUCCGUAGUUCGGAUUGUGGGCUGCAACUCGCCCACAUGAAGCUGGAAUCUGUAGUAAUCGUGUCUCAAAAUGGCACGGUGAAUAUGUCCCUGCUCCUU
RNAcentral lists this ribosomal RNA (366 nucleotides) under uncultured Methanomicrobiales archaeon. RNAcentral describes it as "bacterial SSU rRNA". It matches the Rfam family "Archaeal small subunit ribosomal RNA", at positions 973 to 1338 of the family's 1478-position model. Lineage: Archaea; Methanobacteriati; Methanobacteriota; Methanomicrobia; Methanomicrobiales. The record is from RNAcentral.